AUUCCAGCUCCAAUAGCGUAUAUUAAAGUUGUUGCAGUUAAAAAGCUCGUAGUUGGAUUUGUGGUGACGCUUGAGGUCCAAUUUUGGUACUAUUGAGUGUGACCAUCCUUGGGUGGAAUCUGUGUGGCAUUAAGUUGUCGUGCAGGGGAUGCCCAUCGUUUACUGUGAAAAAAUCAGCGCGUUCAAAGCAGGCUUAUGCCGUUGAAUGUAUUAGCAUGGAAUAAUAAGAUAGGACCUUGGUACUAUUUUGUUGGUUUGCGCACCGAGGUAAUGAUUAAUAGGGACAGUUGGGGGUAUUCGUAUUCCAUUGUCAGAGGUGAAAUUCUUGGAUUUCUGGAAGACGAACUACUGCGAAAGCAUUUACCAAGGAUGUUUUC
RNAcentral lists this ribosomal RNA (377 nucleotides) under Achnanthidium saprophilum. RNAcentral describes it as "SSU rRNA". It matches the Rfam family "Eukaryotic small subunit ribosomal RNA", at positions 582 to 971 of the family's 1831-position model. The record is from RNAcentral. Lineage: Eukaryota; Bacillariophyta; Bacillariophyceae; Cocconeidales; Achnanthidiaceae.